ACUUCAUAUGUGUACUUUGCUUGGACGAACAGCUACAUGUAGGCUUUUUAGGUGAGCAAUCCGCGAGUUCAGUUUGCUCAUAAAGGACUUGCACACAGUU
Molecule: small nucleolar RNA, 100 nt
Organism: Argentina anserina (silverweed cinquefoil)
Lineage: Eukaryota; Viridiplantae; Streptophyta; Magnoliopsida; Rosales; Rosaceae
Source: RefSeq, a predicted model, not a curated record